This 256-nucleotide ribosomal RNA is filed under the name uncultured Gardnerella sp. RNAcentral's name for it is "partial 16S ribosomal RNA". It matches the Rfam family "Bacterial small subunit ribosomal RNA", at positions 99 to 355 of the family's 1533-position model. Lineage: Bacteria; Bacillati; Actinomycetota; Actinomycetes; Bifidobacteriales; Bifidobacteriaceae. The record is from RNAcentral.
CGAACGGGUGAGUAAUGCGUGACCAACCUGCCCCAUGCUCCAGAAUAGCUCUUGGAAACGGGUGGUAAUGCUGGAUGCUCCAACUUGACGCAUGUCUUGUUGGGAAAGUGUUUAGUGGCAUGGGAUGGGGUCGCGUCCUAUCAGCUUGUAGGCGGGGUAAUGGCCCACCUAGGCUUCGACGGGUAGCCGGCCUGAGAGGGCGGACGGCCACAUUGGGACUGAGAUACGACCCAGACUCCUACGGGAGGCAGCAGCA